CGUCACGAAUAUUAAUUAGCCCACACAGCCAAGCCCCGCCCACCCAGCGUCUCCGUCUACCAAUCGUGCGCCGCCCCCGACCUGGUGGAGCUCCUCUGCUUGGUCACCGACUUCGCCCCGCCCACCCUGGCCGUGGAUUGGCUGAUGGACGGCGACGUCAUCGAGGCCGGCCACGCCCACACCGAGCCGGCCACGCCCGGCCACGCCCCCGGGACCUUCCGGGCGGUGUCGAGGCUCAACGUGACCAUGGGGGAUUGGUGGGACCACCAGAGGUUCUCCUGCAGGGCCCGCGUGGGGCAGGAGGUGCGCGAGGAGCCCGUGGGGCGGUGCCAAGCCCCGGCCUCCUCGCCCAUCUCGGUGUUCGCGCUGCCGCCGUCCCCGUCCGACCUCUACAUCUCCCAAUCCCCAAAACUCCUCUGCUUGGUCACCAACCUGCCCAGCGACGACGGCCUGGUGGUCACGUGGUCCCGGGUGGGCGGGGCCAGCCUGGACCACCAGCCCCGCCCCCUGCGCCUGACCAAUAACUUCAAUGGAACCUUCACGGCCGUGUCCGAGCUGCCAUUGGCCGCCGGCGUCUGGGAGGGCGGGGCCGCCUUCGUGUGCCGGGUGGGGCACGCCGAGCUGGUGGCGCCCGUCGAGAAGAAGGUCCAGAGACGGGAAGGAACCCGCCACGCCCCCUCCGUAUUCUUAUUCCCACCUCCCCCUGAAGAAAUUUCUUCGUCCCUGCCCACGCUCUCCCUCACCUGCCUCGUCCGCGGCUUCUUCCCCGACUCCAUCGACGUCCAAUGGCAGAAGAACCUCGGGGGCACCCAGAACUCCCAAAACCCCCGGAAUUCUCCCCAGACCGGGGGGCCCUGGCGGGAGCGGGGGGGGGAGGGGCGCUACUUCCUGCUGAGCCGCCUGGAGGUGACGCGCCAGGAGUGGGACGGGGGCGACGCCUUCGCCUGCACCGUGGUGCACGAGGGGCUGCCCCUGCGCUUCCUGCAGCGCAGCAUCCGCAAGCCGCCCGGUAAUUAGCGGGGUCGUUAAUUAUUGGUUAAUUAAAAGUGAUUUGUUGGCGAAAAAA
Zonotrichia leucophrys gambelii is the source of this 1066-nucleotide non-coding RNA. The record is from the annotation of a RefSeq genome assembly. Lineage: Eukaryota; Metazoa; Chordata; Aves; Passeriformes; Passerellidae.